AGAGAAUGCUGCAGAGCGCGGAAUACUCAUUCGAAACGCACGAGACCAGAACUGUCCUGGAGUGAGUACCGCUGCCCCUCAAACUCAUCUCAUUCCUAAAAAGUAGUUCACGGGAUCAGAAUAGACCCGACAACAUAUACUCACACCGACAAGACAGCCGCGGAGGCCGCCAUAGUGAGGCUCAAGCCUCUCGGGGAACAGAUCUGGUGAAGAUGGAGCAGGUUGUUGUUAGAGAGUGAGAUUGACGAUUCUCGCGUCGUAGCGACUCACCUGACCGUUGCAGGAGGGUAGGAAACAGUCAUCAGGGAAGUUUUUAUUGCGGAGUGAAGGUGGGUCUGCAGGCAGGGAGCGAGGUAAUCAAGCGGGGUUUGAAGGAAAUGUUCCACCUUGUCUGCCGGAAGUUCUGACGGACCUACAAUGGGUGCUCUUAAGAUCCGCGUCUUGCGGCGCUUGACGGCAUACUCUCCCUUGAUCUUUCGCGGUUGUAUCGGCAGGAUUUCAGGGUGUGAGCUCCAGGAGGUCAGGGCCUGGUUGUUGCGUUGGUCAAGUCUAGAAAAAAUGGUUCCGGUUAGACGAGAUCGCAAAAUAGAAGGUAACGCACACUACAACUCUGCGAAGGUCUGUGCGGUGGUACGUGCAAUUUAGAUACGAGUCCUCAUCAUUGGCGUGCGGUAAGGAUUACCAUACACUUGGAUCGAGACGGCAGGUGAUUCUUGAUUCGAGUUGUUAUUAUUACUAGUUCUGUUAUUCGUAUUGCCAUUAUUAUCAUUAUCUUACUUUGCUUUAAGAGUGUGUGUGUGUGUGCGCUGACGGGGGUGGUGGUGUAUCCUGAUUCGUGAGUAUUGGAGCAGGUGGGUGAUGUGUGAGN
RNAcentral lists this long non-coding RNA (868 nucleotides) under Physcomitrium patens. Its description in RNAcentral is "long non-coding RNA (PPAT_LNC012822)". The record is from RNAcentral. Lineage: Eukaryota; Viridiplantae; Streptophyta; Bryopsida; Funariales; Funariaceae.